GUGGGGAAUUUUGGACAAUGGGGGAAACCCUGAUCCAGCGACGCCGCGUGAAGGAUGAAGGCCUUCGGGUUGUAAACUUCUUUUGGAGGGGACGAAUAAAUUGACGGUACCCUCAGAAAAAGCCACGGCUAACUACGUGCCAGCAGCCGCGGUAAUACGUAGGUGGCGAGCGUUACUCGGAAUUACUAGGCGUAAAGCGUAUGUAGGCGGUUGUAUAAGUCUAUGGUGAAAUUUCCUGGCUCAACUGGGAAGGGUCAUAGAUACUGUAUGGCUUGAGUGUUGGAGGGGGAGACGGAAUUCCUGGUGUAGCGGUGAAAUGCGUAGAUAUCAGGAGGAACACCGAUGGCGAAAGCAGUCUCCUGGCCAAAUACUGACGCUGAGGUACGAAAGCUAGGGUAGCAAACAGGAUUAGAAACCCGAGUAGUCC
RNAcentral lists this ribosomal RNA (427 nucleotides) under uncultured bacterium. RNAcentral describes it as "partial 16S ribosomal RNA". It matches the Rfam family "Bacterial small subunit ribosomal RNA", at positions 354 to 796 of the family's 1533-position model. The record is from RNAcentral.